UGGGGUCGAGUUGCAGACCCCAAUCCGAACUGAGACCGGCUUUUUGGGAUUCGCUCCGCCUUACAGCAUCGCAGCCCUUUGUACCGGCCAUUGUAGCAUGCGUGAAGCCCUGGACAUAAGGGGCAUGAUGACUUGACGUCAUCCCCACCUUCCUCCGAGUUGACCCCGGCAGUCUCCUAUGAGUCCCCACCAUAACGUGCUGGCAACAUAGGACGAGGGUUGCGCUCGUUGCGGGACUUAACCCAACAUCUCACGACACGAGCUGACAACAGCCAUGUACCACCUGUACACCGACAAAAAGGGGCACCAUCUCUGGCGCUUUCCGGCGUAUGUCAAACCCAGGUAAGGUUCUUCGCGUUGCAUCGAAUUAAUCCGCAUGCUCCGCCGCUUGUGCGGGCCCCCGUCAAUUCCUUUGAGUU
Molecule: ribosomal RNA, 419 nt
Filed under: uncultured Nocardioides sp.
Lineage: Bacteria; Bacillati; Actinomycetota; Actinomycetes; Propionibacteriales; Nocardioidaceae
Description: partial 16S ribosomal RNA
Source: RNAcentral